AGUCCUGUAGCUCAGGGGUUAGAGCACUCGCCACUUAAGUGAGAGGCCUGGGUUCGAUUCCCGGUAGGGCGA
RNAcentral lists this transfer RNA (72 nucleotides) under Callorhinchus milii (elephant shark). RNAcentral describes it as "tRNA-Lys (CTT) (tRNA-Lys-CTT-13-1)". It matches the Rfam family "tRNA". From Rfam's summary of the family: Transfer RNA (tRNA) molecules are approximately 80 nucleotides in length. Their secondary structure includes four short double-helical elements and three loops (D, anti-codon, and T loops). Lineage: Eukaryota; Metazoa; Chordata; Chondrichthyes; Chimaeriformes; Callorhinchidae. The record is from Rfam by way of RNAcentral.